UUUUUUUAUUCUGUUAUCUGACUUCUCAUUUUAAACAUUCAAAUAUAAUUUUAAUUUAUUUAUUGGUUAUGGGCCAAGUGUAGCGACAGAAUUUGUGAACUACAAAGAAAAUUUAGUCAAAAAUGGAAGAUUUUAAAUCCUGUACCAAAAAUUGAAUGGAGAGAAUUAUCAAAUCUGGAAGUAUAAAUUGGAGCUUUUGCUAAUGAAAGAGGAUUUGUGGGAUACAAUCUUUUGUGAAAAACCGGACAAUGCACCAGCACCAUGGAUAUGGCAAAUGGUAAGAAAAUCAAGGCUCAAGGUUCAGCUGAAGGAUUUCUAUCUUGAUAUGUUAAUAAAGUGACCAUCAAAAAUGUGCUGUAUGUUCCGGAACUAGAAGGUAAUCAGUGUCCACAUUUUUAAUGAAAAACGAAUCCUAGUAACUGCGAUACAUCUGAAAAACUUAUACGUACUGGAGUAAGACCAACAUUCAAAUUUUGCAACCAAUAAAGCAGUUGAAUGUAUUCAUACAUUUAAUCGUAGAUCGUGACGUUAACGCCUUAAAGUUCGCCAUUAAAGAAAAUUUGAUUGGAAAUGUCAAAUUGAAACCCUGCAAUUGUUCAGAUAAUUGCGGAUCGUGUUUGAAGGGAAAAAUUUCAAGACAGAAAUUUUCCAAAAUUACUCAAAACAUAGCGAAUGAGAUUUUGGAUCUAGUUCUUGCUGAUUUGUGCGGACCUAUGCAAUAAACAAAACCAAGCGGAAACAAAUAUUUACUGUCUAUGAUUGGUUUUCAUACAAGGUAAUGUAUGUAUUUUUCAGCAGCUAAGGAUCAAUCAUUUGAGAAAAUCAAUGAAUUCGUAGAAAAUACUGACAAUUUUUUCGGAAAGGGAGUAAAGAUUCUAAGAACUGACAGAGGUAGAGAAUUCAAAAGUACACCGGAGCAAAAUGGUGUCGCUGAGCGAAAGAACAGUAGUUUGGUUGAAAUAGCUAGGACUACGCUCAUACAUGUGGGACUACAGGUAAAGUACUUGGCUGAAGCUAUCAUUGCGGCUAAUUAUUUUCAAAGCCGUCUGCCCUCUAAAGCUGUUAGUAAAACGCCCUACGGUAUAAACCUUCUACCAUAUAAAAAAAAGCUUUUGCCAGAAAUUUGAUGAAGUACCCAAAACGUGUAUAUUUCUGAAAAAUCGAAAGGUUAUCGAAUUUUAGACCCAGAUACAAGCAAAGUUACAAUAUCAAGGGAAGUAAAAUUUUUGGAUGAAGUUUGUCAAGUUAUACUGGAGUGUAACGAGGUGCCGCUUGCGUUAUCACAAUCAGAUCAGCAAAACAUUAUGGUAACAGAUGAACCAAGUCAAGAUGACAGUGAAGACUAUAAUACAGCUGAUGAAGUUCAAGAGAUAGAAGAAAAUAAUUUUUUGGUGGAAGAUUCAUCGACUGAUAUUGAUUGGAAACUAAUGCAAUCGAGCAAACGAACAAUAAAGACGAACAAUUGGAUCUUGUCAAAUAAUAUAAGAACUUGUCAAAUAAUACAAGACCUGACUUAACUGUCGCGACAUCAAUUUAAGUCGAAAAGCAAACUAGAAUGACUAGAAUUCCAACGCGGAGGCGGCACAAUAUCAUAGGCAAGUCCUAAGCAGAAUCUUAAACUUCAAGGAUCUUAAACUUCAAGCUAAUGAUGUCUGUAUGAAAGGAGAUAACCAAAGCUGCCUCAAACUAUUAGAUGGGGCGAAAAUAAAUUCACGUACAAAGCACAUUGAUGUGACAUAUUAUAUUGUUCGAGAACUUAUACAAUCUAAGGAAGUGAUCUUUAAAUACUGUACAAGUAACGAAAUGUUAGCAGAAAGCCGCUACAGCACAUCGUAUAGAAAUAACGAAAUUCAAUAAUAUGAUUGGGCAUAUUUUGGGGAAUAUUGUUCUAUUUGUAGUAGAAUCACUUUUUAGAAAAGAACUAAGUUUCAGUCACAUUAUCUAUGAAAUUGUAAUUGAAUUUUUUUAUACAUAUUGUUUUAUUCUGUUAUCUGACUUCUCAUUUCAAACAUUCAAAUAUAAUUUUCCUUUUUUAUAUUAUUCAUAAA
Molecule: long non-coding RNA, 2048 nt
Organism: Stomoxys calcitrans (stable fly)
Lineage: Eukaryota; Metazoa; Arthropoda; Insecta; Diptera; Muscidae
Exons: 2
Source: RefSeq, a predicted model, not a curated record